Megalops atlanticus (tarpon) is the source of this 73-nucleotide non-coding RNA. Lineage: Eukaryota; Metazoa; Chordata; Actinopteri; Elopiformes; Megalopidae. The record is from the annotation of a GenBank genome assembly.
GGCAGUGUAGUAUAGUGGUUAAGGAGUGGGGCUCAUAACCUAAAGGUUGCCGGUUCGAUUCCCCACGGUGGCA